RNAcentral lists this transfer RNA (74 nucleotides) under Rhizobiaceae bacterium. RNAcentral's name for it is "tRNA-OTHER". It matches the Rfam family "tRNA". Rfam says of the family: Transfer RNA (tRNA) molecules are approximately 80 nucleotides in length. Their secondary structure includes four short double-helical elements and three loops (D, anti-codon, and T loops). The record is from RNAcentral. Lineage: Bacteria; Pseudomonadati; Pseudomonadota; Alphaproteobacteria; Hyphomicrobiales; Rhizobiaceae.
GAGGCCGUAGCUCAGUGGCAGAGCGCCGGGCUUAUGCCCGGAGGUCGGGGGUUCGAUUCCCUCAGGCUUCUCCA